RNAcentral lists this long non-coding RNA (202 nucleotides) under Populus trichocarpa (black cottonwood). RNAcentral describes it as "long non-coding RNA (PTRI_LNC000120)". The record is from RNAcentral. Lineage: Eukaryota; Viridiplantae; Streptophyta; Magnoliopsida; Malpighiales; Salicaceae.
UUCUUGCAUGGACAGCCUCUAAUUUGGCCCCUGCAUGCAAGAACAUUAUUAUGCUAGCCCACAUGUUAGAAUAUACAAUUAAUUAAUCCACUGGGGCACUGGGCGAAUGUUGUGAAUUUCUAGGAUCAUGCCAUGUGCUUUCAUCAAAUCUCGAUUUACCUAAUCCCUUGCUUGGUCAAAACACUCUCUUUGUCUUGAGCUU